UUCCUCUCAGGAUCUCACCUGGAGAGUUCCAGUACUUUAUCAGUUUCUGCUAUAGGAGGGAGAGUCAAACUGACAUACCCAUUCCAUUCCUAGCUUGGGCAUUAGCUAGUGAGUGGAAGUCAAUCUGCUACAAGU
Molecule: small nucleolar RNA, 135 nt
Organism: Ornithorhynchus anatinus (platypus)
Lineage: Eukaryota; Metazoa; Chordata; Mammalia; Monotremata; Ornithorhynchidae
Source: RefSeq, a predicted model, not a curated record